Molecule: long non-coding RNA, 500 nt
Organism: Lethenteron reissneri (Far Eastern brook lamprey)
Lineage: Eukaryota; Metazoa; Chordata; Hyperoartia; Petromyzontiformes; Petromyzontidae
Source: RefSeq, a predicted model, not a curated record
AGUCAGGCCGCACAAGAAGGUGCCGCUCUCUGGCUGUCGUGGGAACGACAGCACCACAAGAGGUACGGAGUACAAAAAAAAAAGAGGGAGAAGAGUCGGCGGUUAUUGUUGAGCGGUGAGCUGGCGCCGGACAGAGUCAUUGUCGUCGUCGUCCGUUGGCUCGGCGAGAGUAGCGAUGCUACGUGGAGCGAGAUUCUGGCUCGGACGGGCAAAGCCGCGGACGGGUAUGGCAGCUCUCGGCGCCGAGACGUUUCUCCGGCACCGUUGGAUUGUCGGCGCGUUGCUCGCUGUGCCGAGUGAAGGUGAGAACGGGAAGGGGCACGCGAGCGGGCGGCAGCGUGGCCUCGCGAGCCGGAACACGGCCCCACGUCUGCCACGUCGCGGCAACGGCCGCACCCUCGUCCCGCCGUCCGCCCUGGGGCCUCGUCGUCGUCGUCGUCGCGAGCGGAACUGGCUCGAACGGCUCCGCUCGCUCGCUCGCCGUGGCUCAGCCGGGAGGA